AGUCGGAUCCUCUCGGUCACUCGUCGUUCGACUAAAGUAGUCACGAACCGAGUCUCAGCUCAGAGAAGCCGGCUUUCGAACUGAUCUUUGCCCAAUUAAUGGUAAUGGGCCUUCUGUUCGCUGAGCUUUAUGGAUGGUUACAAUCCAUCCCCAACAAACACCAACCAGAGACGUUACAAGACAUUGUGUUGACGAGAAGAACGGUUUCUCAGACUUUGUCGAAGACGGAGGUGGUAGAAAAAGCUUGACGAAAGCGUGGCCGUUCGGUUGAGAUGCAGGAAGCAUGGUCGUGGUGUGGUUUAUGCGGCGGAGACUGAAGAACAUGGUUUACUGGUGGAAGAUCGGAGAUUGAUGGAGUUGGUUCAGAAUCAAGUUGACGGCAGUGAAGUAGAUAGGGUUAAUUUUGUGUUUUAGGUUUAGAUUUCGAAACUGGUUUAUCUGUAAACCAGGUUUAAUAACUAAACCGGUUUCAUUUGUAAACAAUUUUUUUAAUAAUAUACUAAUUUUAUUUAAA
This is a long non-coding RNA of Raphanus sativus (radish), 514 nucleotides long. RefSeq lists it as uncharacterized. The record is from RefSeq and is a predicted model, not a curated record. The transcript is spliced from 2 exons. NCBI's taxonomy places the organism in Eukaryota, Viridiplantae, Streptophyta, Magnoliopsida, Brassicales, Brassicaceae.